AGGACGAACGCUGGCGGCGUGCUUAACACAUGCAAGUCGAGCGGUAAGGCCCUUUCGGGGGUACACGAGCGGCGAACGGGUGAGUAACACGUGAGCAAUCUGCCCUUCACUUCGGGAUAAGCCUCGGAAACGGGGUCUAAUACCGGAUAUGACCGCGCUACGCAUGUGGUGUGGUGGAAAGUUCUGGCGGUGGAGGAUGAGCUCGCGGCCUAUCAGUCUUGUUGGUGGGGUAAUGGACCUACAAGGCUUCGACGGGUAGCCGGCUGAGAGGGUCGACCGGCCACGACGUGGGACUGAGACGACGGCCCAGACCUCCGUACGGGAGGCAGCGAGGUAGGGGUAAUAGUUGGACAAGU
RNAcentral lists this ribosomal RNA (356 nucleotides) under uncultured soil bacterium. RNAcentral describes it as "bacterial SSU rRNA". It matches the Rfam family "Bacterial small subunit ribosomal RNA", at positions 26 to 381 of the family's 1533-position model. The record is from RNAcentral.